RNAcentral lists this ribosomal RNA (664 nucleotides) under uncultured archaeon. RNAcentral's name for it is "bacterial SSU rRNA". It matches the Rfam family "Archaeal small subunit ribosomal RNA", at positions 691 to 1353 of the family's 1478-position model. The record is from RNAcentral.
CCGACGGUGAGGGGCGAAAGCUGGGGGAGCAAACCGGAUUAGAUACCCGGGUAGUCCCAGCUGUAAACUAUGCAAACUCAGUGAUGCAUUGGCUUGUGGCCAAUGCAGUGCUGCAGGGAAGCCGUUAAGUUUGCCGCCUGGGAAGUACGUACGCAAGUAUGAAACUUAAAGGAAUUGGCGGGGGAGCACCACAAGGGGUGAAGCCUGCGGUUCAAUUGGAGUCAACGCCAGAAAUCUUACCCGGAGAGACAGCAGAAUGAAGGUCAAGCUGAAGACUUUACCAGACAAGCUGAGAGGUGGUGCAUGGCCGUCGCCAGCUCGUGCCGUGAGAUGUCCUGUUAAGUCAGGUAACGAGCGAGAUCCCUGCCUCUAGUUGCCACCAUUACUCUCAGGAGUAGUGGGGCGAAUUAGCGGGACCGCCGCAGUUAAUGCGGAGGAAGGAAGGGGCCACGGCAGGUCAGUAUGCCCCGAAACUCUGGGGCCACACGCGGGCUGCAAUGGUAACGACAAUUGGUUUCGAAUCCGAAAGGAUGAGGUAAUCCUCAAACGUUACCACAGUUAUGACUGAGGGCUGCAACUCGCCCUCACGAAUAUGGAAUCCCUAGUAACUGCGUGUCAUUAUCGCGCGGUGAAUACGUCCCUGCUCCUUGCACUCACCGCCCGU